RNAcentral lists this ribosomal RNA (494 nucleotides) under uncultured bacterium. RNAcentral's name for it is "bacterial SSU rRNA". It matches the Rfam family "Bacterial small subunit ribosomal RNA", at positions 30 to 504 of the family's 1533-position model. The record is from RNAcentral.
CGAACGCUGGCGGCGUGCCUAAUACAUGCAAGUCGAACGAUGAAGUCCUUCGGGACGUAUCAGUGGCGAACGGGUGAGUAACACGUAAGCAAUCUGCCUUGCGGACCGGGAUAACAUUGCGAAAGUGAUGCUAAAACCGGACGAUGUCGUGGAAUCGCAUGGUUUGACGACCAAACAGGGGCCUCUUUUAUGCUUCUGCCGUGAGAUGAUCUUGCGUCCCAUUAGCUAGUUGGUGUGGUAACGGCGCACCAAGGCUGAGAUGGGUAGCCGGCCUGAGAGGGUGAACGGCCACACUGGAACUGAGACACGGUCCAGACUCCUACGGGAGGCAGCAGUAGGGAAUAUUGGGCAAUGGGCGAAAGCCUGACCCAGCAACGCCGCGUGGGUGAUGAAGCCUUUCGAGGUGUAAAGCCCUUUUGAGUGGGAAGAAGGUGUAGGUGGAAUAAGACGCCAUCUUACUGACGGUACCGUUCGAAUAAGCCCCGGCUAACUCC